GGAGAAAUGGCAGAGCGGUCGAUUGCGGCAGUCUUGAAAACUGUUGAGGUGCGAGGUAACGGGGGUUCGAAUCCCUCUUUCUCCGCCA
This 88-nucleotide transfer RNA is filed under the name Bacteroidota bacterium. RNAcentral's name for it is "Bacteroidetes bacterium (activated sludge metagenome) tRNA-Ser". It matches the Rfam family "tRNA". From Rfam's summary of the family: Transfer RNA (tRNA) molecules are approximately 80 nucleotides in length. Lineage: Bacteria; Pseudomonadati; Bacteroidota. The record is from RNAcentral.